This 936-nucleotide ribosomal RNA is filed under the name Limacina bulimoides. Its description in RNAcentral is "partial large subunit ribosomal RNA". The record is from RNAcentral. Lineage: Eukaryota; Metazoa; Mollusca; Gastropoda; Pteropoda; Limacinidae.
ACGAGCCCAGCACCGAACCUCCCGGUUCCCACCGGCGAGAACUGUGGUGUACGGGACGGCAGUAGUCGUGUGCGCCGGACGCCAGUGUCCUCUUGACCGAGGCUUUACCCAUAGCGGGUGUUAGGCCUUUGACGGCGUCUUGCUGCACGGCCGCGAUCGUCUCAGGAGUCGGGUUGUUUGUGAAUGCAGCCCAAAGUGGAUGGUAAACUCCAUCCAAGGCUAAAUACUGGCGCGAGCCUGAUAGAACACAAGUACCGUGAGGGAAAGUUGAAAAGGACUUUGAAGAGAGAGUUCAAGAGUACGUGAAGCCGCCCAGAGGUAAACGGGUGGACCUGCUAAUUCUACCGGCGGGAAUCAGCUCGGUGCGGCCGGGAGCGUUUGCGUUGAGAUCUUCGGACUCUCCAGACUGCCUCCUGGUGCGGUACCGUGUGCAUUUUCCGCCGGCAGAGCGCUUCGACCGGUCCCGGCGAGAAGCCAAAUGCCCCAGGAGAAGGUAGGCUUUAGCUUCGGCUAGAGCUGUUACAGAUCCCGGYGGUGGCCUAUCUCGGGACCGAGGAACGACCGCGUGCCUUCGUGGCUACCCGGCUCUUGUGGGGAGUUCGACCGGCGGGGACUGGGCAACCGUGCCUGCCUACCGCUCCCCGCUACCGGCUGGGCUAGUCUGGGUGCGCUUAGGGUCAGAAGCGAUAGUGAGAAAUCCCCCCGACCCGUCUUGAAACACGGACCAAGGAGUCUAGCAUGCACGCAAGUCGUCGGGAACGGAAACCCGAGGGCGCAGAGAAAUCGAGGAUUGUCUCGGCAAUCCGGUGAGAUCCUUCUCUCCGGAGAUGGCGCACCACCGGCCCAUCCCAUCUGCACUGUCAGCGGGGUGGAGCUAUAGCGCGCACGCUAGGACCCGAAAGGUGUGAACUAUGCCUGAGCAGGACGAAGCCAGAG